GACGAACGCUGGCGGCGUGCUUAACACAUGCAAGUCGAACGAAGUGGCGAACGGGUGAGUAAUACGUGAGUAACCUGCCCUCCUUUUUGGGAUAAGCCUUGGAAACGGGGUCUAAUACCGAAUAAAGGGGGAUGGGCUCGCGGCCUAUCAGCUUGUUGGUGGGGUGAUGGACUGCCAAGGCGGUGACGGGUAGGCGGCCUGAGAGGGUGACCGGGCACAUUGGGAAGGGGAUACGGCCCAACGGCCUACGGGAGGGGGGAGUGGGGGAUAAUGGACAAAGGGCGAAAGCCUGAAGCAGGGGCGCCGCGGGGGGGAUGACGGGUUUCGGGUUGUAAACCUCUGUCACGAUGGAACGGGUAGGUGGAGAAGAAGCGCCGGCUAACUACGUGCCAGCAGCCGCGGUAAUUC
RNAcentral lists this ribosomal RNA (408 nucleotides) under uncultured bacterium. RNAcentral describes it as "partial 16S ribosomal RNA". It matches the Rfam family "Bacterial small subunit ribosomal RNA", at positions 28 to 526 of the family's 1533-position model. The record is from RNAcentral.